RNAcentral lists this long non-coding RNA (1402 nucleotides) under Panax ginseng (ginseng). RNAcentral describes it as "long non-coding RNA (PGIN_LNC005873)". The record is from RNAcentral. Lineage: Eukaryota; Viridiplantae; Streptophyta; Magnoliopsida; Apiales; Araliaceae.
GAGGAAUAAAGGCCACCUUGUUUAUUUUCUCUCUCAUCAUACUCUUCCCUCAAAUCAUCUCCACAGUUGCAUUUGAGCAACACAAACAAAACAUUUCUGAUAGAGUUAGAGAAAUGUUUUCUUUAGUAACAACAUCUUCCAUGAGCUCUUGGGAUACACUUGCAUCUCUUCUCAAUCAACUGCAGAAACACUAUUUUCCUCCAAAUUUAGAGUAAGUUUUUUGUUUCCUUUAAUUUCUCUCUCAUUUCCGAUUACAUGCAGAAGAGAGAUCACCUCUUACCCGCCUGACACUGUAUUGGUCAAUUGAUCAAAAUUAACUUUAUGCUAAUCUUAUUUAUUCGCUAUUUAUGAUAUGGGAAUCACAUGAAAAUAUCAUAUAUGUGAAAAUGUCAAUUUCUUGAAUUGUUAGUUUUGUAGUUAACAAGUGGAAAUGUUGGCUUUUAGUUUUAGGCCAAGGGACGAAGGUCAUUCCAGCAGCGACGAUGGGGCUAAAGAAAGGAUGCAAGACGCUGCCGGGAAGAGUUUCGGUGCAAGCAAAGCCGCGGUGGAAGAAUCUGCAAAAUCGGCGGCCAAGGUGGUGGGGGAGGCAGUGCAUAAGACAACAGAGAAGGUGAAGGAUUGUAUUGGGGAUGCUUGUCAUACAGAGCUUUGACAAGGCAGAUUUUAGCUGCAGAACAAGUUUUUGUAGUUUAAAAACUCAUUUUUCUUGAUCAGAGUUUUUCCAACAUGUAAGAUGAUUAAUGAUCAUAUGAAGAAAACUACCAAGAAAUCAUUUCUGUUGUUUUGACUAAAUUUAUAUGAUUUGAUUUUGUCGGCCGAGGACAAGAAAGUGCUGCAUCAAAAAUAAUAAUAAAAUAAGCAUGUCAAAGAAGAAUCAAUUGAAUGAAGAUGCAAUAAGCAAUUUAAAAUAAACCACAAAGAACACCCAGAGGGCAGGUAAACAUUGUUAUACAAAAUUGAUGUAGACAUUUAAAAUUAUAAAAAUAAAUUAUAUUUUGUUUAUAAUAACUUUUUAAAUAGUUUUUUGAUUUGAUCUAUUUCAGUUUCUUUGACAAGGUUUGCCUUUCAGAAAUAAUGAUCUUAUCACUAUAAUUCAGAAGUGGUUAGCAUGAAGUUUAUUUUUGGAUAAGUUGGUUAAUAAUUGACCAAUAGAGUACUGACAUGCAGACGGCCUAUAAUUCAUAGAGACGAGACAAAGAUCUUGGUUGACAUCAUGGAGCUUCUUCACAUGUCUGUCGACUUGUGGGAAGUUUUCUCAAAAUUUAGAAAACAAAAUUUUUGAUUGCUAAUGCCACCAAAGUCUCGAAAGAAACUAUCAGAAAUGCUUAAUGGAAUGACCAAUACAUAGAACAGCAUGGUAUACAAAAAUCUAUAAUAUCCAAAAUUAAGAAAAAAAGUGCAC